CACCCCCUCCAGCUGCCUUUGUGUGGCUGCGGUGUUGGGGCACGUCUGCCUGGGUGUCACAUAUCGAAGCCUCCUGCCAAUUUCCUUUUGAUAGGUAUUGUGCAUGCUGGUGAAUGUUGGCCUCCCGUGAGCUCUAUUGUCUCAUGGUUGGUUGAAAAUCGAGACCUUGGUAGGGUGUGCCAUGAUAGAUGGUGGUUGUGUGACCCACGAGAAACCAAGAUCAUGUGCUGCCCUAUUCAAUUCGGCCUCUUUUACCCAUAUGCGUUUUGUAAACGCUCGUG
This 281-nucleotide unclassified non-coding RNA is filed under the name uncultured fungus. RNAcentral describes it as "sequence contains ITS2". Lineage: Eukaryota; Fungi. The record is from RNAcentral.